Molecule: long non-coding RNA, 626 nt
Filed under: Homo sapiens (human)
Lineage: Eukaryota; Metazoa; Chordata; Mammalia; Primates; Hominidae
Description: non-protein coding lnc-CCDC180-2:1
Source: RNAcentral
GAAACAGCAGCCUAUUUGGAUAGAAUAAGCUUGGUGUUUGGAUUCAGUUCAACUAGGGUUUGAGUUCCACUUUGAACUCAGUCACAUACCAGCUAUUGCUUAGCCUUUCUGUGCCUGAAUUUCCUCAUUAAUAAAGAUGACAAAGCAGCUAGCUCACAAGACACCAGUGUGAUGCUUAAAUGAGACUCUAUGUAAAGCAUUUAGAACCACUUCCAGAACAAGCAACAACUCAAUAAUUGUUAGAUUUUUGUUUGUUGAGACAGUCUUGCUCUGUUGCCCAGGCUGGAGUGCAAUGGUGUAUUUAUGCCUCACUGCAGCCUGGAACUCGCAGGCUCAAGCAAUCCUCCUGCCCAGCCUCCUGAGUAGCUGGGACUACAGGAGUGCACCAGCAUGAUCAGCUAAUUUUUAAAAUUUUUUUGUAGAGUAGGAAUGUCACUUUGUUGCCCAGGCUGGUCUCAAACUCCUAGCAUGGUGGGAACUUCCCACCUCAGCUUUCCAAAGUUCUGGAAUAACAGCUGUGAGCCACGCACUCAGCCAGAUGUUAUAAUUAUUACUAUUACUACUCCUUAACAAAAACAUUUUAAUUAAGGGUAUCACACAAUCCAUGAGGCCUUACAGUAAGUAGA